AGAGUUUGAUCCUGGCUCAGGACGAACGCUGGCGGCGUGCCUAAUACAUGCAAGUAGAACGCUGAAGACUUUAGCUUGCUAGAGUUGGAAGAGUUGCGAACGGGUGAGUAACGCGUAGGUAACCUGCCUACUAGCGGGGGAUAACUAUUGGAAACGAUAGCUAAUACCGCAUAACAGUGUUUAACACAUGUUAGAUGCUUGAAAGAUGCAAUUGCAUCACUAGUAGAUGGACCUGCGUUGUAUUAGCUAGUUGGUGGGGUAACGGCCUACCAAGGCGACGAUACAUAGCCGACCUGAGAGGGUGAUCGGCCACACUGGGACUGAGACACGGCCCAGACUCCUACGGGAGGCAGCAGUAGGGAAUCUUCGGCAAUGGGGGCAACCCUGACCGAGCAACGCCGCGUGAGUGAAGAAGGUUUUCGGAUCGUAAAGCUCUUGUUGUAAGAGAAGAACGUGUGUUAAGAGUGGAAAAUUCACACAGUGACGGGUACUUACCAGAAAGGGACGGCUAACUCGUGCCAGCAGCCGCGGUAAU
This 535-nucleotide ribosomal RNA is filed under the name Streptococcus sp. W54. RNAcentral's name for it is "bacterial SSU rRNA". It matches the Rfam family "Bacterial small subunit ribosomal RNA", at positions 8 to 524 of the family's 1533-position model. Lineage: Bacteria; Bacillati; Bacillota; Bacilli; Lactobacillales; Streptococcaceae. The record is from RNAcentral.